This 444-nucleotide ribosomal RNA is filed under the name uncultured bacterium. RNAcentral describes it as "SSU rRNA". It matches the Rfam family "Bacterial small subunit ribosomal RNA", at positions 26 to 518 of the family's 1533-position model. The record is from RNAcentral.
AGAACGAACGCUGGCGGCAGGCUUAACACAUGCAAGUCGAACGCCCCGCAAGGGGAGUGGCAGACGGGUGAGUAACACGUGGGAACGUCCCCCUCGGUUCGGAAUAACUCAGGGAAACUUGAGCUAAUACCGGAUACGUCCGAGAGGAGAAAGAUUUAUCGCCGAGGGAUCGGCCCGCGUCUGAUUAGCUAGUUGGUGAGGUAACGGCUCACCAAGGCGACGAUCAGUAGCUGGUCUGAGAGGAUGACCAGCCACACUGGGACUGAGACACGGCCCAGACUCCUACGGGAGGCAGCAGUGGGGAAUCUUGGACAAUGGGCGCAAGCCUGAUCCAGCCAUGCCGCGUGAGUGAUGAAGGCCUUAGGGUUGUAAAGCUCUUUCGACGGGGACGAUAAUGACGGUACCCGUAGAAGAAGCCCCGGCUAACUUCGCGCCAGCAGCCGC